AAGUCGUAACAAGGUUUCUGUAGGUGAACCUGCAGAAGGAUCAUUGCGGAUAUAGAGCUGCACGGCUUGCCGUUGCGCUCAAACCUCUUCAUCCACACCUUACACGCUUGUGCACACACACACAAUCUUCUUUGCUAUUUGAAUUGAAAGUAAAUACAAGUCCUCCGACGUGGGGCAUGAAAGUAAAUACAACUUUCGGCAACGGAUCUCUUGGUUCUCCUAUCGAUGA
This 229-nucleotide unclassified non-coding RNA is filed under the name fungal sp. RNAcentral describes it as "partial internal transcribed spacer region". The stretch from base 1 to 46 matches the Rfam family "Eukaryotic small subunit ribosomal RNA", at positions 1786 to 1831 of the family's 1831-position model. Lineage: Eukaryota; Fungi. The record is from RNAcentral.